GGCUAAAUGCGAGCCAGCAGGUGCGGUAUAAAGGAGGUAGCAAGGGUUAUGCGGGAGUAUUGGGCAGAAAGCGCGGCUAGGCGGUUUAUUGAGUCUGAUGUGAAAAUGCGGGGCUCAACUCCGUAUUGCGUUGGAAACUGGUAGACUAGAGUAUUGUAGAGGGAGGCGGAACUACAAGUGUAGAGGUGAAAGUCGUAGAUAUUUGUAGGAAAGCCAAUUGGGAAGCCAGCUUACUGGACAAAUACUGACGCUGAAGCGCGAAAGCUAGGGGAGCAAACAGGAUUAGAUACCCGAGUAGUC
This 300-nucleotide ribosomal RNA is filed under the name uncultured Aeromonas sp. RNAcentral's name for it is "bacterial SSU rRNA". It matches the Rfam family "Bacterial small subunit ribosomal RNA", at positions 495 to 795 of the family's 1533-position model. Lineage: Bacteria; Pseudomonadati; Pseudomonadota; Gammaproteobacteria; Aeromonadales; Aeromonadaceae. The record is from RNAcentral.